CGGGGGUCCACCCACUCUGCCUCUGCCCUCCUCUCAGUCCCUGUUUCCCCCUCAUGCUCCACCCACACAUCCUAGAACCUGGGGGCUUUAACUUGAAGUCUUCCUGAGGUUCUGUGGGAGCAGCUCAAUAUGCUUCUUGUUAUCACCCCUCUCUGAAGGGAAUCUGUUGAAUCAGUUACCUUCUUCCAUCUACUUUCUAUCUGUCCCUCAAGUUAGUUAACAUUUUUAGUCUAGUAUUGUCUCCUCACUCGUACCCCUUGUCCUCAUAAUUUUAUAUCUGUUUCAUUUCUUUCAGAUAAGAAAUGAGAUAAAUGCAUGUGUUCAGUCUGAGUAUCUCACUGAGAAUCUCUAAGCAUUAGCUCCAAGACCUCUCAUUUCUCACAGUGAUUCCAUACAGCAGAUCCCGUUAUAGGAUCCUCCACACCUGGUGGGAUCGGAGCCUUUUCAUGACCCGUGCUGCAGUGACACGGUGAGAGGUGAUUGACAUUGGGAAAGAGAAAUUGGCCUGUUACACUGCCCUGAAGAUCAGCACUGUCCUAGGCCUGCUUCUACCGCUGCAAGUACAGAUGGCAGGUACCCCUGUUCACGUGGAGGAGGCCAAUGGGUCUGCACAAAGACUUGGGCUCUGUGUCCCUCCCGAUGGAGGAUCAGAGGGUGGUAAGAGCACGGCUCAGAUGGAUGUGCUGGAGGAAAUGCACCAGGAAAUCCUGAUCGGGGUGCAAUCAGUCACUGUUAAUGCUCAUAAGUAUCAAAGCUACUUGAAGAAAUACAGCUACUUAUAAAUGGGCAAUAAAGUUGAAUUCAUGAAGCAGUUCCUUCUCCAUGGGCAAUUUCUUGGUGCUGAAGAACUGGAAUUGCAUGCAGACUAUGAGUGUCAGAACUCCACACGGCAGUUAACACACUUUAAAGAACAGGUAUUGAAUUUUAGUUGAGUCGAGCAUCAUCUUUUUCAAUUCCAGGGACAGCUUGUUAAAUCAUAAAAUACUUUGAGAUAUGAAGCUCUUAUCUCUGAGAGAUCUUUUUUCUUUAAAAUCAACACUAUGAAAUACUAUUUGAAGGAGCUGACAAUUUUAAAAAGCAGAGGAUAUUUAGUGACUAGCUUCAAGUUGAUAUUAAACCUUUUAAAAAUCAAUGAUAAAUGUUAUAAAAAAUAGAAUUUGAUAUUUGGGGAGUAUCUGCUUAACCAUGUAACCUGCAGAUAGAGUAAUUUGAAUCUGGUUGAUUAUGAGAAGAAAUUAAAAUAACACAAAUCAUUUGA
Molecule: long non-coding RNA, 1258 nt
Organism: Artibeus jamaicensis (Jamaican fruit-eating bat)
Lineage: Eukaryota; Metazoa; Chordata; Mammalia; Chiroptera; Phyllostomidae
Exons: 4
Source: RefSeq, a predicted model, not a curated record